CCUACGGGGGGCAGCAGUGAGGAAUAUUGGUCAAUGGGCGGAAGCCUGAACCAGCCAAGUAGCGUGCGGGAUGAAGGCCCUACGGGUCGUAAACCGCUUUUGCACGGGGAUAACACCCUCCACUUGUGGAGGUCUGCAGGUACCGUGCGAAUAAGGGCCGGCUAAUUCCGUGCCAGCAGCCGCGGUACUACGGAAGGGCCGAGCGGUAUCCGGAUUCAUUGGGGUUAAAGGGAGCGUAGGCGGGCGUUCAAUGCAGCUGUAAAAUCGCGCGGCUCACCCGGGCUCCGCAGUUGAAACUGGACGCCUUGAGUUCACAACAGGCAGGCGGAAUUCGUGGUGUAGCGGUGCAAUGCAGAGAGAUCACGAGGAACCCCGAUUGCGAAGGCAGCCUGCCGGGGUGCGACUGACGCUGAGGCUCGAAGGUGCGGGUAUCAAACAGGAUUAGAUACCCCUGUAGUC
This 459-nucleotide ribosomal RNA is filed under the name uncultured bacterium. RNAcentral's name for it is "partial 16S ribosomal RNA". It matches the Rfam family "Bacterial small subunit ribosomal RNA", at positions 338 to 795 of the family's 1533-position model. The record is from RNAcentral.